AAUAUUGAUAUAUGGCAUCUUAGCAGAUACCAGACGGGGAGUAUUCCGCUCUUAAUUUUACUGCAAUAUAGGCGCUCUUUGUAGUGAGCUAAUUUUAUUUUGAAAUUCGUUUUAUUUUGAAAACCAGUUUUGGGAAGUGACAGGAAGUCAGCCAUGUUUGUUUUUGUUCUUAGCAGUUCACAUGUGGGGAAAUUUGAUCCAGCGACAUCUGCCUUUUCUUUGUGCCGUCGACACCACCGUCUGUGUUUUUGGGCCUGUGUGAUAGACCCUGAAGCAGUUCCUGGAGUACCUGGAGACAGAGACCCACAUUGCACUGCUCACACUGCCAGGGAGUUUUUCUUUUGCACAGAGUGCACUUUCACCUUCCUUGGGUGGCCAUGUUUGCCUUUGACUGUCCUUCCCUGCUGCUUGUGGGGACAGCAAAAUGGUUGGAGCUGUGUGCUGGUGGGCAUCCCGAUUUCAGAGAAACACCAAGGAGAUGAGCACAUAAGUCUUCCUGGAACUCCUGGCGACUCUGCUACUUCUGCUGCUGUUUGGCACAUAAUUCUUUAUGAAUUAUAUAGCUGUUGGUCACACCAAUGUCCAGGAAAUGCUGGAAAACCGUAAUGUGCACUGUAAAAAAAAUAGUAAUAUCAAAGUAUUUUACUGUGUAUUUUACAGUUUUGUACUGUUUUUCCACAAUAUCAUUAAAUUUACAUAAAUAGACUGUGGUUUUACAUGUCAAAUGUAAAAUAACAUAAAAUCACUGUAAAUGUAAUAAAACAUAAUUUCCUUGUUUUUUAAAUAUAUCUUUCUGUACAUAUGCAUAUUUAGAUUGUGAAAAUACAUUGCACCUGGGGUGAGGGCGCGGUCAUGAAAACAAUGUGACAUGCCAUUGGAUGUUUGGACACAUAACGACAUGACCAUAAACAUUGGCCAAUGAAUUAGAACUGACAACCACAAGGUCGUGGGUAUGGCUGUGGAAAGCGCGGUGGAAGAGAGAGAUUGAAAGAUCAUCCACGCAGUGCUGCAAGGCAAGUAUAUCAAACUCGGCUCAGUAGAAUUAACUUGGCAUUGCUUGACCACUAUGGCUCGUAGUUUACUGAGACGGUAAAAGGCAUGGAAUCCCUAGCUAUGAAGGAAAAGCACGUUGUCUGUCAGUUUAAGGUGCAGGUAGCGGCUGGUCUGUAUACUAUCUUGCUGGCUAGCAGAGUUGUUUUUCGCUAAUUUGUUAGCUGCACGCUUUAUGUGACCGUGUAAACACAGCAGUUGCUACGCAAAUAGUUUCUACACCGCUAAUACGCGUUAGGCGGCCCGCGCCGAAAGCUGCCACUGAUGCAUUUGUCUCAAUGUGAAAUUAAGUGUGCAACAUAAGACCUAAUAGGCGAGCUGUUCCACUCCAGCAACACACCUGCACUCCUAUAGAGAGCUCGUGUGCGCCAAGAUGUGCUGCGUGAUGAAGUGAGAGAAAUAGGAAGUAGAAGUAGCCCACUGUGCUAGCUUUGCCCUGUAAAAUGUAAUGGACAUGUAAAGGAUAAGCCAAGUAUUUCCUUUUAUUUUGUGGAGAGGAAGUAGGUAGGCUAAAGCACCUGAGGCGAAUUAUUAGACUACAUAUAUUGCAUACAUGCAGCAUACAGUGUGUGAAUGUGUGUGUGUGUGUGAAUGACUGAAUGUAGUGUAAAGCGCUUUGGGGUCCUUAGGGACUAAGUAAAGCGCUGUACAAAUACAGGCCUUUUUUUUUUUUUUUACCAUUUACAUGUAUUUUGAUUUUGGCAGGUUUCAUGAUUCAUAAGGUUUUUUCUUCUGUCUCUGCAGAUUAGUGGCGUGUAUUCUCAGAUUUACUCAGUAAGUUGUAAAGGUGAGUAUUGUGCUGCAUUUAAGGAUGUCAAAACAUUACACCUGUCGCAGUUGUGGUGCUUCAAUGAGAACCCUAAAAGGGUAUGGUCAGCAUCAAGGGCUCCAUAAAAAUGAGCCACAUUAUCAGUUUGUGUGUUGUAUAAAAGGUUGCAAGUUUCAGUUCAGAAAUUAAAAUUCUUUUAAAUGUCAUGUUUACCGCCAUCAUCAACGGUCAUCUGCUGUGUCACAAUGUCCGACUUUGCAAGGACCCUUUAUAUGUGAACAACCUCAUUGUCAGAAACAGUUGAUUGAUCUGAAAGACCUAUUCUGCCAUCUAAAAUCUCACAUUGCAAGAAGAGAGGAAGUGCGUUGCCGUUUUAAAAACUGUGAAAAAACUUUUUCAGUGGUGUCGUCUUUCACAGCCCACUUAUCUAGAAAUCACAAACACUCUACAGCUGUCCAUGUCUGUGGUUCAUACUGUUUUCCCUCAGUUCCUAGUGAAGUUCAGUCCCCUGUUGCUGAAAGCCAGUUAGAUGAAGGGUCACAGGAUGAUGUCCCUGAGGAGGAGGAUGUACUAGACAUUGCACAAAUGAAAAGUUUGUACAUGAAGUAUCUGUGCAUGUUUUACAUGAAAUUGCAGGCAAAACCUCAUCCCUUCCUCUACAAUACAGCUGAUAAUAGAAGAAAUGAAUAGUCUUAAUGGGAUGUGCCUGCAAUACACCAAUAAUCAACUUAAAACAUUGUUACAAACAAGAACCGAACUAUCUGAGACAAAAAUGAAAGAUGUGUUCAAGACCCUAGAUGAGAUAGAUAUCCAUGCAUCCUGCAGCUCAG
Oreochromis niloticus (Nile tilapia) is the source of this 2649-nucleotide long non-coding RNA. The record is from Ensembl. NCBI's taxonomy places the organism in Eukaryota, Metazoa, Chordata, Actinopteri, Cichliformes, Cichlidae.